RNAcentral lists this ribosomal RNA (501 nucleotides) under uncultured bacterium. RNAcentral describes it as "partial 16S ribosomal RNA". It matches the Rfam family "Bacterial small subunit ribosomal RNA", at positions 30 to 523 of the family's 1533-position model. The record is from RNAcentral.
AUUGAACGCUGGCGGCAGGCUUAACACAUGCAAGUCGAGCGGAGCGAGGGUGCUUGCACCUUAGCUUAGCGGCGGACGGGUGAGUAAUGCUUAGGAAUCUGCCUAUUAGUGGGGGACAACAUUCCGAAAGGGAUGCUAAUACCGCAUAAGCCCUACGGGGGAAAGCAGGGGAUCUUCGGACCUUGCGCUAAUAGAUGAGCCUAAGUCGGAUUAGAUAGUUGGUGGGGUAAAGGCACACCAAGGCGACGAUCUGUAGCGGGUCUGAGAGGAUGAUCCGCCACACUGGGACUGGGACACGGCCCAGACUCCUACGGGAGGCAGCAGUGGGGAAUAUUGGACAAUGGGCGGAAGCCUGAUCCAGCCAUGCCGCGUGUGUGAAGAAGGCCUUUUGGUUGUAAAGCACUUUAAGCGAGGAGGAGGCUACUAGUAUUAAUACUACUGGAUAGUGGACGUUACUCGCAGAAUAAGCACCGGCUAACUCUGUGCCAGCAGCCGCCGUAA